This 160-nucleotide transfer RNA is filed under the name Glaesserella parasuis 29755. RNAcentral's name for it is "Haemophilus parasuis 29755 partial 23S ribosomal RNA". The stretch from base 4 to 76 matches the Rfam family "tRNA". The record is from RNAcentral. Lineage: Bacteria; Pseudomonadati; Pseudomonadota; Gammaproteobacteria; Pasteurellales; Pasteurellaceae.
UUUGGGGAUAUAGCUCAGCUGGGAGAGCGCCUGCCUUGCACGCAGGAGGUCAGCGGUUCGAUCCCGCUUAUCUCCACCAAUCAUCAUAUUUAAGUGAACAAGCAAAAUAGAAACUGAAUGCGAAAUAAAAGCAAGAAGUGACCGCUUGUUAAUUUAAGUA